GAUCGCUGAGUUUAAAAUACACUCUCGACGCGUCGGACCGAUAUGUUAACGAAAGUCGUAAAAUCGAGAACAACGCGAGUGGCUGGAUUAUUGUCGAAAUCGUACGGUUAUUUAUCACCACUGGUGAUAAAUCUACACGUCAAAAUCGUUCAGUAUUCGUUAAAUUCGAAACAAGAACCUCUCCGCAGGUAAAAAUGCAUACCAUCUUUGCGCUUUUCGUUAUAACGAGCGGCUUCAUCACGGAGAUGUGUGCCAACUAUUUAAGGGACAGAUAGUUGUCGAGGAUCAUUAUAUUGAGUUUCUGGCGCACUUUCCAUUCGUCAGUGUGUCCACAAGUUCAAUGCAUACGUCUCAUAUGCGUCUCCUACGCUUAUUAAAAAUAGCAGAUACAGAUUAAAUAGCAAUUUUACGAACGUCGUUGCUGAAAUUAUUAUACGAGGCAGGCAUUUUGAGGACGAAGAACAAUAUUUUUACGUGAACAACGUCACCGUGGCAAUCUUAAAGUUUGAAGGGAUGAAGACUAAUAAACAACAAAGAGGUACACCCGAAAACGUAACGCAGUUGGCAAAUGAUUAUCUUGCACUUGAGUGGGAUCCAUUGACUUACGAAAUAAUUUAUAACAUCAAAAACAUUGCAGCUGAGCUCAUCCAGACCAUUUGGAAUAGGAUUUACACGAAUUUCCCAACUGUUAUGUUAACGUCUCGUUAAAACGCAUCGUCUUGAUUUUAUUGUCAUGAUGAAGAGAUUAAUCAUUUUAUAAUGAGUGUAACUUGCUAGCACAAUUAGUUGUGCAUUACUUAUUUAUUAUUUUGAUACGGAGAUUCGUAUACGCUGCUUUAGAAAAUGGCUUUUUCUUCCAAUGGAGUUCGGUGCGCAUCAAAUGCGAACGAAUGCUCGCGGGUUUGCGGUUGUGACAGAACUCGCAUGAUAGUACACUAUGCACACAGUGCCUCUUUAUUGUACUUUCAUUCAAUGGAUAAAAGUAUGAUAAAAAUACCUAUGUUCCACGCGUUUUCUUCGUUAUACUUGCAAUGUUAGAUAUCUCGUAUACCAUCACUUCGGCUUUCGUCAUAACUGAUGAAGCUCGCGAGUUGUCGCUUGUAAUUAGAACCAUUUCGCGUUACCAAUCUUAUCGGUAAUAAUAUAUAUAUAGAUCCUUCCUAGACCUAAAGAUUCUACGCUAAAGGACCUUACGCUUUGUAAAUUUGGAUAUACGAAAUACGAUUGUAAACUUGGAACUGAAACAAUCUGGACAAUUUUUUUUCGGAGCAUUUUUCAACACCAGUCAAUGGUUCAAUAAGACAAAUUAUUUUUUAGCGGUCCAAAAAUAAAUUCUUUCAUUGAAGCAUCAGCUGUAUCUUAAACAACAUCCAGAACAAUUUUGUCCUGACUGUAAAAUAAAUUCGAGUAUAUAAUUAUCCGGAAAGUACGCGUAUACUUGAGAAUUUCUAGAAAGAAAAGAAUACGUGCAAUAAGCGAGAUAUUUGUUUUCCUCGCAGAGAAAAAAAUCCAUGUAAGAGCGUUUGCAAUAUUGCGUUUGCGAUAUUUUUUCUUCGCGUGAAUAACGGCGCUUAGAUUAUACAAAUUUAUUUGUAAAUUUAACCAACGCAAUAAAGAGUUAUGCACGUA
This 1629-nucleotide long non-coding RNA is filed under the name Harpegnathos saltator (Jerdon's jumping ant). RNAcentral describes it as "uncharacterized LOC105180982, transcript variant X1". The record is from RNAcentral. Lineage: Eukaryota; Metazoa; Arthropoda; Insecta; Hymenoptera; Formicidae.